This 274-nucleotide ribosomal RNA is filed under the name uncultured bacterium. Its description in RNAcentral is "partial 16S ribosomal RNA". It matches the Rfam family "Bacterial small subunit ribosomal RNA", at positions 523 to 796 of the family's 1533-position model. The record is from RNAcentral.
AUACGGAGGGUGCAAGCGUUAUUCGGAAUCACUGGGCGUAAAGGGUGCGUAGGCGGUUUGAUAAGUCUGAUGUGAAAUCCUAUGGCUCAACCAUAGAACUGCAUUGGAAACUGUCAGACUAGAAUACUGAAGGGGCAGAUGGAGUUAGUGGUGUAGGGGUAAAAUCCGUAGAUAUCACUAGGAAUACCGAAAGCGAAAGCGAUAUGCUGGGAAGUUAUUGACGCUGAGGCACGAAAGCGUGGGGAGCAAACGGGAUUAGAUACCCUGGUAGUCC